Molecule: ribosomal RNA, 338 nt
Filed under: Bacillus toyonensis
Lineage: Bacteria; Bacillati; Bacillota; Bacilli; Caryophanales; Bacillaceae
Description: bacterial LSU rRNA
Rfam family: Bacterial large subunit ribosomal RNA
Source: RNAcentral
UAGUGAACUAGUACCGUGAGGGAAAGGCGAAAAGAACCCCGGAGAGGGGAGUGAAAUAGAUCCUGAAACCGUAUGCGUACAAGCAGUGGGAGCCUACUUUGUUAGGUGACUGCGUACCUUUUGUAUAAUGGGUCAGCGACUUAUUUUCAGUGGCGAGCUUAACCGAAUAGGGGAGGCGUAGCGAAAGCGAGUCUUAAUAGGGCGUCUAGUCGCUGGGAAUAGACCCGAAACCGGGCGAUCUAUCCAUGGUGAGGUUGAAGGUUGGGUAACACUAACUGGAGGACCGAACCGACUACCGUUGAAAAGUUAGCGGAUGACCUGUGGAUCGGAGUGAAAGG